UACACACCGCCCGUCACACCAUGGGAGUGGGUUUCACCAGAAGCCGGUCGCCUAACCGCAAGGAGGGCGCCGACUACGGUGAGAUUCAUGACUGGGGUG
RNAcentral lists this ribosomal RNA (99 nucleotides) under uncultured bacterium. Its description in RNAcentral is "partial 16S ribosomal RNA". It matches the Rfam family "Bacterial small subunit ribosomal RNA", at positions 1384 to 1482 of the family's 1533-position model. The record is from RNAcentral.